GGGCCGAUAGCUCAGUUGGUAGAGCGAUGCGUUCGCAAUGCAUAGGUCAGGGGUUCGACUCCCCUUCGGUCCACCA
Molecule: transfer RNA, 76 nt
Filed under: Planctomycetota bacterium
Lineage: Bacteria; Pseudomonadati; Planctomycetota
Description: tRNA-Ala
Rfam family: tRNA
About the family: Transfer RNA (tRNA) molecules are approximately 80 nucleotides in length. Their secondary structure includes four short double-helical elements and three loops (D, anti-codon, and T loops).
Source: RNAcentral